AACGAACGCUGGCGGCAUGCCUAACACAUGCAAGUCGAACGAGACCUUCGGGUCUAGUGGCGCACGGGUGCGUAACGCGUGGGGACCUGCCCUUAGGUUCGGAAUAACUCCCCGAAAGGGGUGCUAAUACCGGAUAAUGUCUUCGGACCAAAGAUUUAUCGCCUUUGGAUGGGCCCGCGUUGGAUUAGCUAGUUGGUAGGGUAAAAGCCUACCAAGGCGACGAUCCAUAGCUGGUCUGAGAGGAUGAUCAGCCGCACUGGGACUGAGACACGGCCCAGACUCCUACGGGAGGCAGCAGUGGGGAAUAUUGGACAAUGGGCGAAAGCCUGAUCCAGCAAUGCCGCGUGAGUGAUGAAGGCCUUAGGGUUGUAAAGCUCUUUUACCCGGGAUGAUAAUGACAGUACCGGGAGAAUAAGCUCCGGCUAACUCCGUG
Molecule: ribosomal RNA, 433 nt
Filed under: uncultured bacterium
Lineage: Bacteria
Description: partial 16S ribosomal RNA
Rfam family: Bacterial small subunit ribosomal RNA
Source: RNAcentral